RNAcentral lists this ribosomal RNA (490 nucleotides) under uncultured bacterium. RNAcentral's name for it is "partial 16S ribosomal RNA". It matches the Rfam family "Bacterial small subunit ribosomal RNA", at positions 30 to 507 of the family's 1533-position model. The record is from RNAcentral.
AUUGAACGCUGGCGGCAGGCCUAACACAUGCAAGUCGAACGGUAACAGAAAGCAGCUUGCUGCUUUGCUGACGAGUGGCGGACGGGUGAGUAAUGUCUGGGAAACUGCCUGAUGGAGGGGGAUAACUACUGGAAACGGUAGCUAAUACCGCAUAACGUCGCAAGACCAAAGAGGGGGACCUUCGGGCCUCUUGCCAUCGGAUGUGCCCAGAUGGGGUUAGCUAGUAGGUGGGGUAGCGGCUCACCUAGGCGACGAUCCCUAGCUGGUCUGAGAGGAUGACCAGCCACACUGGAACUGAGACACGGUCCAGACUCCUACGGGAGGCAGCAGUGGGGAAUAUUGCACAAUGGGCGCAAGCCUGAUGCAGCCAUGCCGCGUGUAUGAAGAAGGCCUUCGGGUUGUAAAGUACUUUCAGCGGGGAGGAAGGGAGUAAAGUUAAUACCUUUGCUCAUUGACGUUACCCGCAGAAGAAGCACCGGCUAACUCCGUG